Molecule: ribosomal RNA, 462 nt
Filed under: uncultured bacterium
Lineage: Bacteria
Description: partial 16S ribosomal RNA
Rfam family: Bacterial small subunit ribosomal RNA
Source: RNAcentral
GACGAACGCUGGCGGCGUGCUUAAUACAUGCAAGUCGAGCGGAAAGGCCCUUCGGGGUACUCGAGCGGCGAACGGGUGGAUAACACGGGAGUACGCUGCCACCGUAUUUGGGAGAAUCCUCGAACACGGGGAAACCUGAGCGAUACGACACAACUUCUCUUAGGCUCAUGGUUGAAAAGUUAUCGGUUGUGGAUGGGCUACCGGUCGAUCGGCUUGCUGUUGGGGUGAUAGCUUGCCAAGGAGACGACGGCUAGCCGGCCUGAGAGUGGGACCGGCCACACGGGGACUGAGACACGGCCCAGACUCCUACGGGAGGCAGCAGUGGGGAAUAUUGCGCAAUGGGCGGAAGCCUGAUGCAGCGACGCCGCGUGAGUGAUGACGGCCUUCGGGUUGUAAACCUCUUUCAGCGUGGACGAAGCGUAAGUGACGGUACCUGCAGAAGAAGCGCCGGCUAACUACGUG